AUGGUUAAGUUAGAAAGGGCGCACGGUGGAUGCCUUGGCACUAGGAGCCGAUGAAGGACGGGACGAACACCGAUAUGCUUCGGGGAGCUGUAAGCAAGCUUUGAUCCGGAGAUUUCCGAAUGGGGAAACCCACUGCUCGUAAUGGAGUAGUAUCCAUACUUGAAUACAUAGAGUAUGAGAAGGCAUACCCGGGGAACUGAAACAUCUAAGUACCCGGAGGAAGAGAAAGCAAAUGCGAUUCCCUGAGUAGCGGCGAGCGAAACGGGAACAGCCCAAACCAAGAGGCUUGCCUCUUGGGGUUGUAGGACACUCUAUACGGAGUUACAAAGGAACGAUAUAAGCGAAGAGGUCUGGAAAGGCCCGCCAAAGAAGGUAACAGCCCUGUAACUGAAAUGUUGUUCUCUCCAGAGUGGAUCCUGAGUACGGCGGAACACGUGAAAUUCCGUCGGAAUCCGGGAGGACCAUCUCCCAAGGCUAAAUACUCCCUAGUGACCGAUAGUGAACCAGUACCGUGAGGGAAAGGUGAAAAGCACCCCGGAAGGGGAGUGAAAUAGAUCCUGAAACCGUGUGCCUACAAGUAGUCAGAGCCCGUUAACGGGUGAUGGCGUGCCUUUUGUAGAAUGAACCGGCGAGUUACGAUCCCGUGCAAGGUUAAGCAGAAGAUGCGGAGCCGCAGCGAAAGCGAGUCUGAAUAGGGCGCAUGAGUACGUGGUCGUAGACCCGAAACCAGGUGAUCUACCCAUGUCCAGGGUGAAGUUCAGGUAACACUGAAUGGAGGCCCGAACCCACGCACGUUGAAAAGUGCGGGGAUGAGGUGUGGGUAGGGGUGAAAUGCCAAUCGAACCUGGAGAUAGCUGGUUCUCUCCGAAAUAGCUUUAGGGCUAGCCUCAAGGUAAGAGUCUCGGAGGUAGAGCACUGAUUGGACUAGGGGCCCCUACCGGGUUACCGAAUUCAGUCAAACUCCGAAUGCCGAUGACUUAUCCUUGGGAGUCAGACUGCGAGUGAUAAGAUCCGUAGUCGAAAGGGAAACAGCCCAGACCGCCAGCUAAGGUCCCAAAGUAUACGUUAAGUGGAAAAGGAUGUGGAGUUGCUUAGACAACCAGGAUGUUGGCUUAGAAGCAGCCACCAUUUAAAGAGUGCGUAAUAGCUCACUGGUCGAGUGACUCUGCGCCGAAAAUGUACCGGGGCUAAACGUAUCACCGAAGCUGCGGACUGUUCUUACGAACAGUGGUAGGAGAGCGUUCUAAGGG
Molecule: ribosomal RNA, 1250 nt
Filed under: Bacillus safensis
Lineage: Bacteria; Bacillati; Bacillota; Bacilli; Caryophanales; Bacillaceae
Description: bacterial LSU rRNA
Rfam family: Bacterial large subunit ribosomal RNA
Source: RNAcentral